UGGGACUGAGACACGGUCCAGACUCCUACGGGAGGCAGCAGUGGGGAAUCUUGCGCAAUGGGCGAAAGCCUGAUGCAGCAACGCCGCGUGUGUGAUGAAGGUCUUCUGGAUUGUAAAGCACUUUCGACCGGGACGAAAACCCGUUGGCUAAUAUCCAGCGGCUUGACGGUACCGGGAGAAGAAGCACCGGCUAACUAUGUGCCAGCAGCCGUGGUAAUACAUAGGGU
RNAcentral lists this ribosomal RNA (227 nucleotides) under uncultured bacterium. RNAcentral describes it as "partial 16S ribosomal RNA". It matches the Rfam family "Bacterial small subunit ribosomal RNA", at positions 314 to 533 of the family's 1533-position model. The record is from RNAcentral.